Molecule: long non-coding RNA, 175 nt
Organism: Maniola jurtina (meadow brown)
Lineage: Eukaryota; Metazoa; Arthropoda; Insecta; Lepidoptera; Nymphalidae
Exons: 3
Source: RefSeq, a predicted model, not a curated record
AUUUUGAUGGAAUUUGGUACAGUGGUAGCUAAUACUCCGGGUUAACAUAUAGGGUAAGUAGUUUUUAUCCCGAAAAAAAAUAGGGAUUCUUCGGGGAUACAGGAUCAAAUUUUUUAUCGAUUUUACUCCAUAACUCCGUCAAAUCUGAACCGAUUUUCACAAUUUUACUUUUUUA